CCCCGCGAUUCCGCGGCCUUGGCCACACCACGCUGGGGAUUGAAAAUCCCCGUGUCGGCGGUUCGAUUCCGUCUCUGGGAA
Molecule: transfer RNA, 81 nt
Filed under: Myxococcales bacterium
Lineage: Bacteria; Pseudomonadati; Myxococcota; Myxococcia; Myxococcales
Description: tRNA-Phe
Source: RNAcentral